UUUGUGCCGAAAUGCACCCAAACCUAAUCAUAAUCGAGUAAAAAAACUCAUUGAUGUGUGUUACUGUAACCGUAAGGGAUUCCUAGAAAAUGCCAACAUAUGAUAGCCUUCUAUAUAUUCCAGAAAUAUUUAUAUUCUAUGCUGACGAUGUCCUCUAUAUUUAUCUGAAUAUAUGUUUUUUCCGAUAACAUUUUUUAUUUAAAUAUAUGACUAAGGGUGAAGAAUUCUUUUUUUUCUUUUUUCCCUUGAAUUAUUUAUCUUUGUUUUUUGAAGCGAUAAAUUUUUAUAUUGUAUUCUGCUGUUGCUGCGUGUGCGUUCUUGAAAAUUAGGGCGAUGACACUGUCAUGC
Molecule: long non-coding RNA, 348 nt
Filed under: Malus domestica (apple)
Lineage: Eukaryota; Viridiplantae; Streptophyta; Magnoliopsida; Rosales; Rosaceae
Description: long non-coding RNA (MDOM_LNC000801)
Source: RNAcentral